AACGAACGCUGGCGGCAUGCCUAACACAUGCAAGUCGAACGAAGGCUUCGGCCUUAGUGGCGCACGGGUGCGUAACGCGUGGGAAUCUGCCCUUUGGUUCGGAAUAACAGCUGGAAACGGCUGCUAAUACCGGAUGAUGACGAAAGUCCAAAGAUUUAUCGCCAGAGGAUGAGCCCGCGUUGGAUUAGGUAGUUGGUGGGGUAAAGGCCUACCAAGCCGACGAUCCAUAGCUGGUCUGAGAGGAUGACCAGCCACACUGGGACUGAGACACGGCCCAGACUCCUACGGGAGGCAGCAGUGGGGAAUAUUGGACAAUGGGCGCAAGCCUGAUCCAGCAAUGCCGCGUGAGUGAUGAAGGCCCUAGGGUUGUAAAGCUCUUUUACCCGGGAAGAUAAUGACUGUACCGGGAGAAUAAGCCCCGGCUAACUCCGUG
Molecule: ribosomal RNA, 433 nt
Filed under: uncultured bacterium
Lineage: Bacteria
Description: partial 16S ribosomal RNA
Rfam family: Bacterial small subunit ribosomal RNA
Source: RNAcentral